This 562-nucleotide small RNA is filed under the name Pongo abelii (Sumatran orangutan). Its description in RNAcentral is "processed transcript". Lineage: Eukaryota; Metazoa; Chordata; Mammalia; Primates; Hominidae. The record is from RNAcentral.
AGAGCCUCUGGAGAUUAUGACAAUGACUGUACAAAUCCUAUAACACCUCUUUGUACACAGCCUGACCAGGUUAUUAAAGGGGGUGCUAGUAUUAUUCAGUGCCACAUUCUUAAUGAUAAGAGACAUAUAUUAACCAAAGAUACCAAUAAUAAUGUGGCAUAUUGGGAUGUAUUGAAGGCAUGUAAAGUUGAAGAUCUGGGCAAAGUGGAUUUUGAAGAUGAAAUUAAGAAAAGAUUUAAAAUGGUGUAUGUGCCAAAUUGGUUCUCAGUAGACUUAAAAACAGGGAUGUUAACUAUUACUUUGGAUGAAAGUGAUUGUUUUGCUGCCUGGGUUUCUGCAAAAGAUGCUGGUUUCAGCAGCCCUGAUGGGUCAGAUCCAAAAUUGAAUUUAGGAGGACUUUUACUCCAAGCACUCCUGGAAUAUUGGCCUAGAACACAUGUGAAUCCAAUGGAUGAAGAGGAAAAUGAAGUAAACCAUGCUGGUUGAGGAAUCAUUGAGUCUCAUCGACUGAGGCUUACUCUGCUGAAGAUUCUCUGCUGGCCACCAGGAGUGAGCAACAAUG